Molecule: ribosomal RNA, 1494 nt
Filed under: Candidatus Levyibacteriota bacterium
Lineage: Bacteria; Candidatus Levyibacteriota
Description: bacterial SSU rRNA
Rfam family: Bacterial small subunit ribosomal RNA
Source: RNAcentral
UUUUUUGAGAGUUUGAUCCUAGCUCAGGAUGAAUGCUGGCGGCGUGCCUUAGGCAUGCAAGUCAAGGGGGUUCGUAGCAAUACGAACAACCGGCAGACGGGUGAGUAACGCGUAGGAAUCUACCUCUAGGUGGAACAUAGCCCUCCGAAAGGAGGGGUAAUUUUCCAUAGUUCUCGUAAGAGUAAAGGUCUUAACGGACCGCCAAGAGAUGAGCCUGCGUCCUAUCAGCUUGUUGGUGGGGUAAAUGCCUACCAAGGCGAUGACGGGUAGCUGGACUGAGAGGUCGAUCAGCCACAACUGCACUGAAACACGGGCAGUACAUCUACGGAUGGCAGCAACUAGGAAUAGUUCGCAAUGGACGAAAGUCUGACGACGCGACGCCGCGUGAAGGAUGAAGGCCUAUGGGUCGUAAACUUCUUUUGAUGAUUCUUUCACAGAUCAUAGAAUAAGCCUCUACUAACUACGUGCCAGAAGUCUCGGUAAUACGUAGGAGGCAAGCAUUAUCCGGAUUUAUUGGGCGUAAAGUGUGCGUAGGCGGUUUGAUAAGUCUAUUCUUAAAUACCGAAGCUUAACUUCGGGCCUGGAAUAGAUACUACCAAACUUGAGGAUUGUUAGGGAUGCUAGAACAGUUAGUGUAGCAGUGAAAUGCGUUGAUAUUAACUGGAAUACCAAAGGCGAAGGCAGGCAUCUGGGAUUUUCCUGACGCUGAGGCACGAAAGCCGGGGGAGCGAAACAGAUUAGAGACCUGUGUAGUCCUGGCUGUAAACGAUGUCCGCUAGCUGUCACUUAAUCAAGUACAUAAAUAUUUGUGUGUUUGAUUAAGUGGCGGUGUAAGCUAACGCGUUAAGCGGACCGCCUGGGGAGUACGGUCGCAAGACUAAAACUCAAAGGAAUUGACGGGGACCCGCACAACCUGUGGAGCGUGUGGUUCAAUUCGAGACAAAACGAAGAACCUCACCAGGGUUUGACAUAGUACCGUUUAUGCUUUUGGAAACAUUAGCAAAUCCGUAAGGAUGGUAUUACAGGUGCUGCAUGGCUGUCGUCAGCUCGUGCCGUGAGGUGUUCCCUUAAGUGGGGAAACGAGCGCAACCCCCGCCAAAUGUUAAAUAUUCAUUUGGGACUAUCCUGUAUUUUUUACAGGGGGGAAGGAGGGGAAGACGUCAAGUCAGCACGGCCCUUAUACCCUGGGCCACACACACACUACAAUGGCGAAUAACAACGUGUUGCAAGCCAGCGAUGGCAAGCUAAUCACUAAAAUUUCGCCUCAGUUCAGAUUGGAGUCUGAAAUUCGACUCCAUGAAGCCGGAAUAGGUAGUAAUCGCGGAUCAGCAAGCCGCGGUGAAUACGUUCUCGGGUCUUGUACACACCGCCCGUCAAGGCAGCAAAGUCGGGAGUGGCCGAACACUUCGCAAGAGGUGGAGGCCAAAUUCGGCGAUGAAGCUUAAGUCGUAACAAGGUAUCCCUACCCGAAGGUGGGGAUGGAUCACCUCCUUU